This 27-nucleotide non-coding RNA is filed under the name Homo sapiens (human). The record is from RNAcentral. Lineage: Eukaryota; Metazoa; Chordata; Mammalia; Primates; Hominidae.
UGCCUGGCAGCCAAGGGUGUUGGUCGC